Molecule: ribosomal RNA, 198 nt
Filed under: uncultured bacterium
Lineage: Bacteria
Description: partial 16S ribosomal RNA
Rfam family: Bacterial small subunit ribosomal RNA
Source: RNAcentral
GGCUGCAACUCGCCUGCAUGAAGUCGGAAUUGCUAGUAAUCGCAGAUCAGCAUGCUGCGGUGAAUACGCUCCCGGGCCUUGUACACACCGCCCGUCACACCAUGGGAGUCGGUAACACCCGAAGUCGGUAGCCUAACCGUAAGGAGGGCGCCGCCGAAGGUGGGAUUGAUGACUGGGGUGAAGUCGUAACAAGGUACC